RNAcentral lists this long non-coding RNA (291 nucleotides) under Nicotiana benthamiana. RNAcentral describes it as "long non-coding RNA (NBEN_LNC030328)". Lineage: Eukaryota; Viridiplantae; Streptophyta; Magnoliopsida; Solanales; Solanaceae. The record is from RNAcentral.
GGUAUAUGGGCUUGAUAUAAAUCCAAGAGCAGUAAAGAUCUCGUGGAUAAAUUUGUACUUGAAUGCUCUGGAUGACAAUGGUGAACCAAUAUAUGAUGAUGAAAAGAAAACACUGCUAGAUAGGGUAGAGUUUCACGAGUCUGAUCUGCUAGCUUGGAUGACAAUGGUGAACCAUAUAUGAUGAUGAAAAGAAAACACCACUAGAUAGGGUAGAGUUUCACGAGUCUGAUCUGCUAGCUUACUGCAAAGAUAAUCACAUCGAACUUGAAAGAAUUGUUGGAUGCAUACCAC